RNAcentral lists this ribosomal RNA (650 nucleotides) under uncultured archaeon. RNAcentral describes it as "bacterial SSU rRNA". It matches the Rfam family "Archaeal small subunit ribosomal RNA", at positions 1 to 658 of the family's 1478-position model. The record is from RNAcentral.
UUCCGGUUGAUCCCGCCGGACCUGACUGCUAUCGGAUUGAUACUAAGCCAUGCGAGUCAUUGUAGCAAUACAAGGCAGACGGCUCAGUAACGCGUAGUCAACCUACCCUAUGGACGGGAAUAACCUCGGGAAACUGAGUAUAAUGCCCGAUAGAACACUAUACCUGGAAUGGUUUGUGUUUCAAAUGAUUUAUUGCCGUAGGAUGGGACUGCGGCCUAUCAGUUUGUUGGUGAGGUAAUGGCCCACCAAGACUAUUACAGGUACGGGCUCUGAGAGGAGUGGCCCGGAGAUGGGUACUGAGACACGGACCCAGGCCCUAUGGGGCGCAGCAGGCGAGAAAACUUUGCAAUGUGCGAAAGCACGACAAGGUUAAUCCGAGUGGUUUCUGCUAAAGGAACCUUUUGACAGUCCUAGAAACACUGUUGAAUAAGGGGUGGGCAAGUUCUGGUGUCAGCCGCCGCGGUAAAACCAGCACCUCAAGUGGUCAGGAUGAUUAUUGGGCCUAAAGCAUCCGUAGCCGGCUCAGUAAGUUUUCGGUUAAAUCUGUACGCUCAACGUACAGGCUGCCGGGAAUACUGCAGAGCUAGGGAGUGGGAGAGGUAGACGGUACUCGGGAGGAAGUGGUAAAAUGCUUUGAUCUUUCGAUGACC